CUUGGUUCCCGCGGUGCCCUCGGGCCCCGGAGGCGGCGUCUUCUCCCCUCCGGUUUGGGAUGAAUUUUCUCCCGUUUCCCCAGGAGACAGUGACUGCCUUGGGAGACAUAUCGAUCCCAAGCUUCUCGGGACUCCACUUUCCUCCAUAUUGGCCGUUCCCGCCGCGCUGAGUCUAGGGCACAGGGUCAUGGAAGGCGGGAAACCAGGAAACUCCACUCCUUACUUCACAGUCCUGCCAGCUGCCUCACAGUGCGAGGCAAAAAUGGAGGAACACUGAAGAAAUGAAAGUCAGAAGAACUUCCAGGAAUCGCGCACUUCGCCCUCAAACAUUGGUGGGCACUAGAAUAAGCCUUUCCUGCCCCAGCCCCUCAGCUGAAUCUCUAAGGAGAAUGCUCUAGAGGGCUGUUCGCCUAUGCUGAUUCGCUGAACUGAACAGGGAGCAGAAACCCCAGGGCACACUCCAUGUAAGACCAGAUGCUGGAACGAUCAGACACAGGACCCAAGCCCUUUGGAGCCUCCAUUUAUCGACUAUCAAAGGAGGAUGCGUUGUGAAGAAGCACGAACGGGAGGGAGUGUGAACUCUGCCUGUUAGCUGAUUCACUCAACCACCCUCUACCGCUCCCACCCCUGGGCUUGGUGCUGGGACAGCGAUGACGGGGAGAGGGUCCUGCCUCACAGGACUACAACAGCCAAAGGGCUGUGGGUGCAAGGGGGACAGGGCAGGUGUUCUGCCUCUUUAGGGGAGGCCUUGAAGGGGAAGGUGGAGCCCUGAAGCAUGAGUCUGCAGAAGUAGCAAUCAUUCAAUAAAUACAUGCUGAUUUAUUACAGGGAUAAGAUGGUUUCUUGGGGGAUAGAUUCAAGAGGAGUUGAGAAUGUUUUAUUCAUUUAC
RNAcentral lists this long non-coding RNA (889 nucleotides) under Homo sapiens (human). RNAcentral describes it as "non-protein coding lnc-H1FX-1:3". Lineage: Eukaryota; Metazoa; Chordata; Mammalia; Primates; Hominidae. The record is from RNAcentral.